GCCAGCAACCAUAUCACCCUGCAACUCACAGCCCACUAAAGCUAGCAGGUGUGAGCCUGGUCAGUACCUGGAUGGGAGACCUCCUGGGAAAAACUAAGGUUGCUGCUGGAA
RNAcentral lists this ribosomal RNA (111 nucleotides) under Lepisosteus oculatus (spotted gar). The record is from RNAcentral. Lineage: Eukaryota; Metazoa; Chordata; Actinopteri; Semionotiformes; Lepisosteidae.